AGUCUUAUAUUCAAUAAUGAUAUUAAAUUGCAAAUUUAAAGGUAAAAAAUUUUUUAAGGCUU
RNAcentral lists this transfer RNA (62 nucleotides) under Gastrolina thoracica. RNAcentral describes it as "tRNA-Cys". The record is from RNAcentral. Lineage: Eukaryota; Metazoa; Arthropoda; Insecta; Coleoptera; Chrysomelidae.